Molecule: long non-coding RNA, 738 nt
Filed under: Malus domestica (apple)
Lineage: Eukaryota; Viridiplantae; Streptophyta; Magnoliopsida; Rosales; Rosaceae
Description: long non-coding RNA (MDOM_LNC015124)
Source: RNAcentral
UUGAGGGAGUGGCUGGUUUUGGGGAGGGAUAAGGUUGGUGUGUGUGUUGAUUUGUGAGUUUUGUCAAAAUUAAUCAAGUGGUGUAAGAUAAGAAAUUCUUAUCACCAUUAUUUCUAUCACCUUUCAUAAAAAUAAUAUAUGUUUUGAUGAUAGAUUUUUCUAUUGCCAUUUAAUCAAAUAUUUAACACUUUAAAUACAUGAUAAAUCAUUUGAAAAACAUAUCACAUAAACUUUAUGAAAUAAUUCAAAACUUUGAAUCAAUACACCAAACCUUUUUGUUCUUGGCAAGAACAUCAAGAACAAUGAAGAACAUCCAUGAAAAACCCAAAUUUCUCCAUGAACUUUUUCCACCCAAAAACAUUCCAAAACCAUUCUUACUUAAGGGAAAUAACAUCUAACCAAACUAGGGUACUUAGGGGUUCCAAAGAACACAUUAAAACACUUUUAACAAGUCAAACAAGAACCCAAAAAUUCACCCUUUGGAUUUGGCCGAAUUUUCCCAAAAGCAUGGCACCAAAUUUUAGCUCCAAUAUUCAUGCUUAUAUGAACAACAUCUACAACAUUUGAGAUAGCAAAUUUUCCAACAAAAUUUACUUUCAAAGAAGCAAGAAUAAAGCUUGUAACAAUUACAACUUUUAGAUCACAAACUUAUGAACUACAAAACACAAAAGGAUUCACCAACUACUAGACCUAGGCUCUGAUACCACUUGAAGGAAUUAUUUUGAAAAACAUGUUCAU